Molecule: long non-coding RNA, 321 nt
Filed under: Pan troglodytes (chimpanzee)
Lineage: Eukaryota; Metazoa; Chordata; Mammalia; Primates; Hominidae
Description: long non-coding RNA NONPTRT015912
Source: RNAcentral
UAGGGAAGGCCACCUUGUAUGCCGUGCUGGUCAGUGCCCUCGUGCUGAUGGCCAUGGUCAAGAGAAAGGAUUCCAGAGGCUAGCUCCAAAACCAUCCCGGGUCAUUCUUCAUCCACACCCAGGAUUCUCCUGUACCUGCUCCCAAUCUGUGUUCCUAAAAGUGAUUCUCACUCUGCUUCUCAUCUCCUACUUACAUGAAUACUUCCCUCUUUUUUCUGUUUCCCUGAAGAUUGAGCUCCCAACCCCCAAGUAUGAAAUAGGCUAAACCAAUAAAAAAUGGUGUGUUAGGCCUGGUUGCAUUUCAGGAGUGUCUGUGGAGUU